Molecule: ribosomal RNA, 1941 nt
Filed under: Triticum aestivum (bread wheat)
Lineage: Eukaryota; Viridiplantae; Streptophyta; Magnoliopsida; Poales; Poaceae
Description: partial small subunit ribosomal RNA
Source: RNAcentral
AUGGCGGAGAUCGCCGGCGACGAGACCCCACCGCUACCUUCGUCUUCCGGCGCCGAGGAAUCCUCUCUCCUCUCGUCCCCUCCCUCGCCCACCGCCACCAGCGGGGACGAGCCGCCGCCGCGCACGAGGAAGCCCGGCACGAAGCGUCUCGUCCUCACCGCCUCGGUCCUCCUCUCCUUCCUCGUCGGACUGCCCUUGCUGCUCAAAUCCACCGAGAUCCACCGGUCGCCGCUGCCCUCCGAUGCAAUCGCCGACCUGUCCCGCCGCCUCCAGUCGCACCCUCCCUCCUUCCCCUGCGGUCUCCACGCGGUCUUCCUCCGCUCCGGCCCUGGCUCCCCCGUCGCCUCCCUUGCCGAUCAGCUCGAGCGGGCAAUCUCGACCCAGCACCACCUCCUUCCCGCGUCUUCUACUGCCGGGAACAUCUCCGUGUCAGUCACCGUCCAGUCGGACGGUGGCUGCACCAGCAGCGCGGCUGCCGCUUCGCCUUGGCGAUGCGGCUUGGUGAGCGCUGCAGACUCGUUCCAUGAUGAUGAGGUGUUCGAUGAAUUGCUGCACUCUGCAUUGGGUGGUGGUGAUGGGGAUGGGAUGAAGGUUUACACUAUUGUCAUUGCUGAGGAUGAUGAUGGAAAGGGGACGAGGGUUGUGAUUGGAAAGCACCGUCAUGCUUGGGUUGUUGGGAAGGUCGAUGAGGCCGAGGCUGUGUCACUUAUUAGCAAGGUGUUCAUCAAGUAUUUCAUGAAUGGUGGUAUUGAAGAGGGUGAGACAGGCAUUGGGAAAGGCGAGUUCAUGCCAGUUGGUUCAGAUGGGAAUGUUGUUCUUUCAUUCAGCUUGUUGAAUGCUGAUCCAAAUGAUUGGGUCUAUGAUUGGGAGUUCAAAAAUAUUGGCGAGAGAAUCCUUACUCCUGUGGUCGAGGCCCUGCAACCAGUUGCUGAUAUCAAUAUAGAGAGUCAGGUUCUCUACCACACUCCGAAGUCGUCCUAUUCUUAUUCUGACGAUAAAUUGGGGGGCAAUGUCCUUAGUAUGGGAGACAUUCCUUUCUUUGUAAACUCAAAUGAGUGGCACUUGGAUACAUCGAUUUCAGCUACAGGACGAUCAAAAGUUCUUCAGUUUGUGGUAAAAAUACAAGUAGGACAAUGCUGGCUUGCUACUCUGAAUUUGCUUCAUUUUGUGAUCAUACUCACUUUUCAUCUGCCAAACUGCUGGUAUAUUCCAUCUGCAAGGGAAUGCCCUUUGUAUUUGCAGCUUCCAGAUGGGGAGCUUUCGAAAACUAAUGCAUUUAUUUCCCCAAUGUGGGGAGGUGUUGUUAUUUGGAACCCACCAGGCUGUUCACUUGGUUCAAAGAAGGCGCAUGGGACUCAGAGACAAAUGUCAUCACAGGAACUUAUGGAGACUCUGGAAAUCUUCAUUGGGCAGCUAAGACAGUUAUUUGGUCUAAAACCAAACUAUCAUGCACAAGGCAUGGAUGUGGCAACUAAAUUCCUAGUUAGUGAAAAGGGGUUUGCGCAAUGGGAAUUGGAUUUACUAUACAGACAUCAUGCAUGUUCCAACCUUUUGUCAUGUGUCGCCACCUUGGAAUCUCUUUCCAGCUUGGUCCAAUCGCUCCCAAGAAUGAUUGUUAUGGAUGAAAUUGGGAGGCAGGUAGAGCUUUCACUUGAAGCCGCAAGCUUAGCUCAAAGGAACGCCACUCUUGGAAUAGGUGACUCUUCUGCAGUGUCUGCAACGAGAGCAAGGGCUUUGGCUGAGGACGCAUUUUUCCAUCCGUCCAUUAUGUCAAUCAGUUAUGCUUCCGUGGAGCACUACUUCGCCAUUUACAUGCCAUUCUUUGCGCCAGUGUGCUUGCAUGUGCUGCUGGCGGCGAUCAAAGAGCUGAAACGCUACAAGGUGGAGCGGGCCAAGUACUCGGCGUUCCUCGCCUCCCAGUCCCAGGCGACGACCUCCUGA